Molecule: ribosomal RNA, 432 nt
Filed under: uncultured bacterium
Lineage: Bacteria
Description: partial 16S ribosomal RNA
Rfam family: Bacterial small subunit ribosomal RNA
Source: RNAcentral
AACGAACGCUGGCGGCAUGCCUAACACAUGCAAGUCGAACGAGACCUCCGGGUCUAGUGGCGCACGGGUGCGUAACGCGUGGGAACCUGCCCUUAGGUUCGGAAUAACUCCCCGAAAGGGGUGCUAAUACCGGAUAAUGUCUUCGGACCAAAGAUUUAUCGCCUUUGGAUGGGCCCGCGUUGGAUUAGCCAGUUGGUAGGGUAAAAGCCUACCAAGGCGUCGAUCCAUAGCUGGUCUGAGAGGAUGAUCAGCCACACUGGGACUGGGACACGGCCCAGACGCGUGCGAGAGGCAGCAAUGGGGAAUAUGGGACAAUGGGCGAGAGCCUGAUCCAGCAGUGCCGCGUGAGUGAUGAAGGCCUUAGGGUUGUAAAGCUCUUUUACCCGGGAUGAUAAUGACAGUACCGGGAGAAUAAGCUCCGGCUAACUCCGU